UUUUCAAAAGAGAGGGGGAGUUUGGGGAGUAGAAUCUCCAAUGAACCAAUAUAGGGCAAGCAUGUGGCAUCGAGCUUGGCUUCUAUUAGAGAUUGCCGUAGCCAAUCCAUUAUGUGCCUACAACAUCCACUUGUGAGUCAUCUCUAUUAGCACCAACAAGUAGCAAUGCUUUUAGUUCUUAGGGCCUCUUUCUAUACUUAAUUGGUGGAAAAAAAUUGUUGUUAAAAUACAAAUUCAUUCCUUGAUUAUUUGACACAUCAUUAGUUUUAGUAAUGAGACCUGUAGCUCAUCCUUCACCAAUUUUGGGAAGUGGAAAAUGUAGGUAGAAUAGUCCAUUGAUAAAUUGAUGUAUUUUUGACUUGCAAUAAGAAGCCAUUUGGUCUUUAUAUGACCUCUUAUGCAAGAUCAUAUAGUGCUUCACUCUCUUACACAUGGAAGUGCAAAUUUUGAAAUUAGGUGGAUUUUACCUUGCAAAAUUCAUUAGAUGUAGACAAAUUCCAAGAAUAACAUUACCCAC
This 517-nucleotide long non-coding RNA is filed under the name Physcomitrium patens. Its description in RNAcentral is "long non-coding RNA (PPAT_LNC011282)". Lineage: Eukaryota; Viridiplantae; Streptophyta; Bryopsida; Funariales; Funariaceae. The record is from RNAcentral.